GGGUUGUGAGGUUAAGCGACUAAGCGUACACGGUGGAUGCCCUGGCAGUCAGAGGCGAUGAAGGACGUGCUAAUCUGCGAUAAGCGCCGGUAAGGUGAUAUGAACCGUUAUAACCGGCGAUUUCCGAAUGGGGAAACCCAGUGUGAUUCGUCACACUAUCAUUAACUGAAUCCAUAGGUUAAUGAGGCGAACCGGGGGAACUGAAACAUCUAAGUACCCCGAGGAAAAGAAAUCAACCGAGAUUCCCCCAGUAGCGGCGAGCGAACGGGGAGGAGCCCAGAGCCUGAAUCAGCAUGUGUGUUAGUGGAAGCGUCUGGAAAGGCGCGCGAUACAGGGUGACAGCCCCGUACACAAAAGCGCAUGUGCUGUGAGCUCGAUGAGUAGGGCGGGACACGUGGUAUCCUGUCUGAAUAUGGGGGGACCAUCCUCCAAGGCUAAAUACUCCUGACUGACCGAUAGUGAACCAGUACCGUGAGGGAAAGGCGAAAAGAACCCCGGCGAGGGGAGUGAAAAAGAACCUGAAACCGUGUACGUACAAGCAGUGGGAGCACAGGUUUACCUGUGUGACUGCGUACCUUUUGUAUAAUGGGUCAGCGACUUAUAUUCUGUAGCAAGGUUAACCGAAUAGGGGAGCCGGAGGGAAACCGAGUCUUAAUUGGGCGUUAAGUUGCAGGGUAUAGACCCGAAACCCGGUGAUCUAGCCAUGGGCAGGUUGAAGGUUGGGUAACACUAACUGGAGGACCGAACCGACUAAUGUUGAAAAAUUAGCGGAUGACCUGUGGCUGGGGGUGAAAGGCCAAUCAAACCGGGAGAUAGCUGGUUCUCCCCGAAAGCUAUUUAGGUAGCGCCUCGUGAAUUCAUCUCCGGGGGUAGAGCACUGUUUCGGCUAGGGGGCCAUCCCGGCUUACCAACCCGAUGCAAACUGCGAAUACCGGAGAAUGUUAUCACGGGAGACACACGGCGGGUGCUAACGUCCGUCGUGAAGAGGGAAACAACCCAGACCGCCAGCUAAGGUCCCAAAGUCAUGGUUAAGUGGGAAACGAUGUGGGAAGGCCCAGACAGCCAGGAUGUUGGCUUAGAAGCAGCCAUCAUUUAAAGAAAGCGUAAUAGCUCACUGGUCGAGUCGGCCUGCGCGGAAGAUGUAACGGGGCUAAACCAUGCACCGAAGCUGCGGCAGCGACACUGUGUGUUGUUGGGUAGGGGAGCGUUCUGUAAGCCUGUGAAGGUGGCCUGUGAGGGUUGCUGGAGGUAUCAGAAGUGCGAAUGCUGACAUAAGUAACGAUAAAGCGGGUGAAAAGCCCGCUCGCCGGAAGACCAAGGGUUCCUGUCCAACGUUAAUCGGGGCAGGGUGAGUCGACCCCUAAGGCGAGGCCGAAAGGCGUAGUCGAUGGGAAACAGGUUAAUAUUCCUGUACUUGGUGUUACUGCGAAGGGGGGACGGAGAAGGCUAUGUUGGCCGGGCGACGGUUGUCCCGGUUUAAGCGUGUAGGUGUGUGUUCCAGGUAAAUCCGGUUCACUUUAACACUGAGGCGUGACGACGAGGCACUACGGUGCUGAAGCAACAAAUGCCCUGCUUCCAGGAAAAGCCUCUAAGCAUCAGGUAACAUCAAAUCGUACCCCAAACCGACACAGGUGGUCAGGUAGAGAAUACCAAGGCGCUUGAGAGAACUCGGGUGAAGGAACUAGGCAAAAUGGUGCCGUAACUUCGGGAGAAGGCACGCUGACACGUAGGUGAAGUGAUUUACUCAUGGAGCUGAAGUCAGUCGAAGAUACCAGCUGGCUGCAACUGUUUAUUAAAAACACAGCACUGUGCAAACACGAAAGUGGACGUAUACGGUGUGACGCCUGCCCGGUGCCGGAAGGUUAAUUGAUGGGGUCAGCGCAAGCGAAGCUCCUGAUCGAAGCCCCGGUAAACGGCGGCCGUAACUAUAACGGUCCUAAGGUAGCGAAAUUCCUUGUCGGGUAAGUUCCGACCUGCACGAAUGGCGUAAUGAUGGCCAGGCUGUCUCCACCCGAGACUCAGUGAAAUUGAACUCGCUGUGAAGAUGCAGUGUACCCGCGGCAAGACGGAAAGACCCCGUGAACCUUUACUAUAGCUUGACACUGAACAUUGAGCCUUGAUGUGUAGGAUAGG
This 2133-nucleotide ribosomal RNA is filed under the name Salmonella enterica subsp. enterica serovar Newport. Its description in RNAcentral is "partial 23S ribosomal RNA". It matches the Rfam family "Bacterial large subunit ribosomal RNA", at positions 1 to 2147 of the family's 2925-position model. Lineage: Bacteria; Pseudomonadati; Pseudomonadota; Gammaproteobacteria; Enterobacterales; Enterobacteriaceae. The record is from RNAcentral.